CUGAUGAGGGGACGCCCAGGGAGCUCUGGUGAGGUGUGAUUAGGUCCUGGUGUCUUCUCCACAUAGCUCCAGCGUCGUCCUUUCUGGCACUCUUCAGCUGGCUGGCUCUCCUCAGCGUCCUUCAGCAAUGUAACUCGCAUAUCUUGGUUAUGCCCAACGUAAACGAGUUUAAAAUUCUGCAAAUUAAUACUGCAGCAGUCAACGUGUGGCAGCUCCUAAUGGUCGCAGGAAGCAGAGUGCAGAGGGGUUUUCCUGAUGCAAGGAAGUACCUAGAACAGGAAACUUAAGAAGACCACGAGUCAAAUUUAAGGCUGAAUUAUUGUCAGAACUGAAGGACAGAGUACCAAAAGUGACAUGAAUGUGUCAGAAGCUACCAGAAAAUCAGGUAGCCAAACCCCCUGGCUUCAUGAAUUUUGGCUGAGAUGGUGAGGAGUGCUGUGACCCAAGUAUGAUUCCACCGCCAACUCCAUCGAUGUUUCAUACUGAGAAUGGGAAAGAAAAGCAACUGCACUUGACUGGAGAUCACUCUGGAAGAUGAUGUGA
This is a long non-coding RNA of Nothoprocta perdicaria, 543 nucleotides long. RefSeq lists it as uncharacterized. Lineage: Eukaryota; Metazoa; Chordata; Aves; Tinamiformes; Tinamidae. The transcript has 4 exons. The record is from RefSeq and is a predicted model, not a curated record.